GUGCUCACUUUGGGCAGCACAUUCUAAAAUUUGACAGAUACAGGAAGAUAGCCUGCCCUGCGCAAGGAUGGUAUGCAAUUCAUAAAGUAUCCAUUUUUU
Molecule: small nuclear RNA, 99 nt
Filed under: Macaca nemestrina (pig-tailed macaque)
Lineage: Eukaryota; Metazoa; Chordata; Mammalia; Primates; Cercopithecidae
Source: RNAcentral